CAUGCUGGCACCUGAUGAAGGCCGUGGAUGCCACAAUGACGAACUGGUUGUCUUUUGUUAUUUUACAGAACAUCCUUGUGAGCAAAUAACCGGGUGCCAAGGAUGUGACCAGAUUUUGCAGCCCAGGUCAAACGUUACAUGUUACGGACCCAUGCGUCCCACCGAGACGAUUCAUGACCUGCCAUGGAGCAAACCUAUGAUUUGGUGGAUUUGGGCAAUGAAGAGGUGCUCUCUUUCUGGAUGUACACAUGAUGGCUUCAUAGCUAUUAGAGGGACAUAGAGGCUCAGAGCAGCAGCCACCACAGCCCCUCAUCUGACUGCUGUGAGAAAUCUGUAAUCCACAGCAUCGCCUCCGGCAUCAAACGGAAUAUUUGUGUUCCUGAAUUGGAACAGUGGGAGAGUUUAUUUGCAUGUCUUCCUUCCUCGAUGCUGAUGCUGGCAUUUCAGAAAGAGGAACUCUUUUGGAGCAGCCUUGAGCUCUAUUGUACAGCCUGUUUUCAACAUAGUGGUCAUGUGUUUAUGACACCAUUUCUGUCCACGAUGGACGAGAAAUCAUACUUGUCAAACAGAUUUCGUAACUUUUAUUGACUUUGGAGGCUGACUUGCUUAGCAUCAACCAUAGACUAUUGUCAUAGAUUCCUUGUCUAUUUGUUUUUCUUAGAUGUCCAGAGCAACAAAAGUGUCUUUAAACAGGACAUCAGAAACACAACAAGAACAUUUAUAUUAUUACUAUUAUCAGAGCAAGUGGAAGUGAAAAAAAUAGAUCUUUUAGUGGACCAGGGGCCCUGAGAGCCACGAUGUCAGGUUUCAUUUAAUGAUGUGGUGCAAGAAGACUUCAGCAAAGAGAAAAAUCACCAUCUUACCCCAGAACUGUGGAACUGAGCCUGGCGUUGGCCUUGGAAUUCCAAUCCAGGGGCCCCUGGUGAGUGGUAAAACUAAAGUUUACUGCAGUUUGGGCCCUGAAAUGAAACUAAGAAAGUUAAGUCAUUAACUUGAUUCACAGGACUGUGCCAGUAGUUUUGUUGUUGAGAUGCACAAAACGUUACAAAAUAGAAUUUUAUUUUUGCAUUGGUAACAAAAUCAUUUGUGAGAAACCAUCUUUUUAUAGUGAACUGUUGAUCUCUGUGGCAUUCAUUAGUUCAUAUUCAGGAGGAAAACAGGCAACACAUUCUUUUAGAUGGAAAUUGCAAAAGUAAGCAUGUUAAAAUAAACAUCAAUAAAUUUCUCAUUUUUUAUGUAAAUAUUUUGUAAGAUGUUUUCAUAAUGUUCAGAGCAGCAGAGGUGAGUUUUCCGAACAAAAUUCAAUCUUUGACAAUGUUAUAUUGUGUAUGAGGUAUUUUUAUGUACUUUAUGUUCUCUCCAUUCAUCCAUCCAUCCAUCCAUCCAUCCAUCCAUCCAUGCUUCUGCUGAUAUAAACUCUCAAAUGUGUCCUUGUACCACCAGAAUUCAGGCUCUGUGUAAAAAUAUCUCCAUAAUAACUUUAUUUUGAUUGAAAAUAAAAAGGGCAAAAUAUCUGACUGUGCAGUGAUUUCACAUUAAAACAAUCAAAAGUCUGAUACAGAGUUGGUGAUACAGAGUUGACCUUACCUCUACAGUUUUGUCUUAAUCAGCACGAAGACAUGUGCUUUGUUGCAUGCACCCAAACUUCCUCCUGCCACUGUCUGUAGGGC
Takifugu rubripes (torafugu) is the source of this 1670-nucleotide long non-coding RNA. Lineage: Eukaryota; Metazoa; Chordata; Actinopteri; Tetraodontiformes; Tetraodontidae. The record is from Ensembl.